AAAACAUUUGGGUCUUAUGGAGCAAAGUCAAUUGCCCCAAGAGUUGCUUUGGAUGACCAGAAUGUUUAGGAUUCUGGAUUAAUUCUUAUGGAAACCAAUGUCUGCUUCCCACCCACCCCCUCAUCUUCAGUUUCGAUUCUGCCAUCAUCUUUUCCUUUUUGACCUCUAUAUUUGUCCACUCACCCUUGCCUUCUGAAAUUCUCUUGUCCAGGUGUUCACUGCUCACUUGAUUUCAACAACCUUCAAGAUGACCAGCAGGCGUAAGUCUUAGCCACCUCUGUCCACUCUCUCACUGCUGCUUGAGUGCUGUUUCCCAAAAUAAACUGGGGUGUGCUUUUCUUCAAAAGAUCACCAGUGCUUCUACAGAACUCUCAAAUUAGUUGCCAGAGGGCUGCUUUUGAUACUUAAUGAGGUUUUAUCUUAUUUAGUCAUGAACUCUCCUUAAUAAUAAUCAUAAAAAUAAAGGUGCUUGAAGAUGAUCUGGUUGAGUUCUCCACCAAACUGCGCCUCCUGGAAUCUCCUGUCGGGUGCACUCCCACCACUUCAGAAUUAAUUCAGUAUCUCUACCAGAUUGAAUGCAGUAGGAGAAGGGAACGACAGAGGAUGAGACGGUUGGAUGGCGUCACUGACUCGAUGGACAUGAGUGUGAGCAAGCUCUGGGAGUUGGUGAUGGACAGAGAAGCUUGACGUGCUGCGGUCCAUGGGGUCACAAAGAGUCGGACACGAUUGAGUGACUGAACCGAGCUGAACCACAUUGGGAUUAUUAUGUCUUCCUCCCUCUCCUCAUUGUUAUUUUUGUUAUUAUACUACUACUAUAAUAAAGAAUUAUGAAC
Molecule: long non-coding RNA, 833 nt
Filed under: Bos indicus x Bos taurus (hybrid cattle)
Lineage: Eukaryota; Metazoa; Chordata; Mammalia; Artiodactyla; Bovidae
Description: lncRNA (ENSBIXG00000022585.1)
Source: RNAcentral